AUAAAACUGAAAGAAGAUGGAUCCCCUUCAAUAAGUUGAGAAAAGUCAUAUGUUAAAAUCACAUACACGGAGCAAACCACUUUUGAACAUGUUAAGGGUUUUCACAUAAAUAAAGAUCUUGGAAGGUUUCAGAAGUACAUAAUUGCAAAGAAAAGAACCACUAUUCAAAUACUUUUUUUC
Non-coding RNA from Jatropha curcas, 180 nucleotides. The record is from RefSeq and is a predicted model, not a curated record. NCBI's taxonomy places the organism in Eukaryota, Viridiplantae, Streptophyta, Magnoliopsida, Malpighiales, Euphorbiaceae.